UAAUACGUAGGGUCCAAGCGUUAUCCGGAAUUACUGGGCGUAAAGAGUCUGUAGGCUGCGACUUGCGUGAGAUGUGAAAUCCUAUGGCUCAACCAUAUGGACUGUAUCUCAUACGGGGUCGCUAGAGGACGGCAGAGGCAAGUGGAACUGGCGGUGUAGGGGUGAAAUCCGUAGAUAUCGCCAAGAACACCAAUGGCGAAGGCAGCUUGCUGGGCCGUCCCUGACGCUGAGAGACGAAAGCGUGGGGAGCGAACAGGAUUAGAUACCCUGGUAGUCCACGCCGUAAACGAUGGAUGCUAUCAGUUUGGAGUAUCGACCCUCUGGGCUGAGAAGCUAACGCGUUAAGCAUCCCGCCUGGGGAGUACGAGCGCAAGCUUA
RNAcentral lists this ribosomal RNA (378 nucleotides) under uncultured bacterium. RNAcentral describes it as "bacterial SSU rRNA". It matches the Rfam family "Bacterial small subunit ribosomal RNA", at positions 521 to 896 of the family's 1533-position model. The record is from RNAcentral.